Molecule: ribosomal RNA, 380 nt
Filed under: uncultured eukaryote
Lineage: Eukaryota
Description: partial 18S ribosomal RNA
Rfam family: Eukaryotic small subunit ribosomal RNA
Source: RNAcentral
CAAUAGCGUAUAUUAAAGUUGUUGCAGUUAGAACGCUCGUAGUCGGAUUUCGGGGCGUUCCGACCGGUCUGCCGAUGGGUAUGCACUGGCCGGAGUGUCCUUUUUGCCGGAGACCGUGCCUACUCUUAACUGAGCGGGGGCGGGAGACGGCACUUUUACUUUGAAAAAAUCAGAGUGUUUCAAGCAGGCAGCUCGCUCUUGCAUGGAUUAGCAUGGGAUAAUGAAAUAGGACUUUGGUGCUAUUUUGUUGGUUUCGAACACCGAAGUAAUGAUGAGAAGGGACAGUCAGGGGCACUCGUAUUCCGCAGAGAGAGGUGAAAUUCUCAGACCCGCGGAAGACGAACCACUGCGAAAGCAUUUGCCAGGGAUGUUUUCACUGA